GAUGAACGCUGGCGGCGUGCCUAAUACAUGCAAGUCGAGCGAACGGACGAGAAGCUUGCUUCUCUGACGUUAGCGGCGGACGGGUGAGUAACACGUGGAUAACCUACCUAUAAGACUGGGAUAACUUCGGGAAACCGUAGCUAAUACCGGAUAAUAUUUUGAACCGCAUGGUUCAAAAGUGAAAGACGGUCUUGCUGUCACUUAUAGAUGGAUCCGCGCUGCAUUAGCUAGUUGGUAAGGUAACGGCUUACCAAGGCAACGAUGCAUAGCCGACCUGAGAGGGUGAUCGGCCACACUGGAACUGAGACACGGUCCAGACUCCUACGGGAGGCAGCAGUAGGGAAUCUUCCGCAAUGGGCGAAAGCCUGACGGAGCAACGCCGCGUGAGUGAUGAAGGUCUUCGGAUCGUAAAACUCUGUUAUUAGGGAAGAACAUAUGUGUAAGUAACUGUGCACAUCUUGACGGUACCUAAUCAGAAAGCCACGGCUAACUACGUG
This 497-nucleotide ribosomal RNA is filed under the name uncultured bacterium. RNAcentral's name for it is "partial 16S ribosomal RNA". It matches the Rfam family "Bacterial small subunit ribosomal RNA", at positions 28 to 507 of the family's 1533-position model. The record is from RNAcentral.